RNAcentral lists this ribosomal RNA (496 nucleotides) under uncultured bacterium. Its description in RNAcentral is "partial 16S ribosomal RNA". It matches the Rfam family "Bacterial small subunit ribosomal RNA", at positions 28 to 506 of the family's 1533-position model. The record is from RNAcentral.
GAUGAACGCUGGCGGCGUGCCUAAUACAUGCAAGUCGAGCGAACGGACGAGAAGCUUGCUUCUCUGAUGUUAGCGGCGGACGGGUGAGUAACACGUGGAUAACCUACCUAUAAGACUGGGAUAACUUCGGGAAACCGGAGCUAAUACCGGAUAAUAUUUUGAACCGCAUGGUUCAAAAGUGAAAGACGGUCUUGCUGUCACUUAUAGAUGGAUCCGCGCUGCAUUAGCUAGUUGGUAAGGUAACGGCUUACCAAGGCAACGAUGCAUAGCCGACCUGAGAGGGGGAUCGGCCACACUGGAACUGAGACACGGUCCAGACUCCUACGGGAGGCAGCAGUAGGGAAUCUUCCGCAAUGGGCGAAAGCCUGACGGAGCAACGCCGCGUGAGUGAUGAAGGUCUUCGGAUCGUAAAACUCUGUUAUUAGGGAAGAACAUAUGUGUAAGUAACUGUGCACAUCUUGACGGUACCUAAUCAGAAAGCCACGGCUAACUACGU